GACGAACGCUGGCGGCGUGCCUAAUACAUGCAAGUAGAACGCUGAAGAGAGGAGCUUGCUCUUCUUGGAUGAGUUGCGAACGGGUGAGUAACGCGUAGGUAACCUGCCUGGUAGCGGGGGAUAACUAUUGGAAACGAUAGCUAAUACCGCAUAAAAUGGAUUAUCGCAUGAUAAUCCAUUGAAAGGUGCAAAUGCAUCACUACCAGAUGGACCUGCGUUGUAUUAGCUAGUUGGUGGGGUAACGGCUCACCCAGGCGACGAUACAUAGCCGACCUGAGAGGGUGAUCGGCCAAACUGGGACUGAGACACGGCCCAGACUCCUACGGGAGGCAGCAGUAGGGAAUCUUCGGCAAUGGACGGAAGUCUGACCGAGCAACGCCGCGUGAGUGAAGAAGGUUUUCGGAUCGUAAAGCUCUGUUGUAAGAGAAGAACGAGUGUGAGAGUGGAAAGUUCACACUGUGACGGUAUCUUACCAGAAAGGGACGGCUAACUACGUG
RNAcentral lists this ribosomal RNA (497 nucleotides) under uncultured bacterium. RNAcentral describes it as "partial 16S ribosomal RNA". It matches the Rfam family "Bacterial small subunit ribosomal RNA", at positions 28 to 507 of the family's 1533-position model. The record is from RNAcentral.